GACGAACGCUGGCGGCGUGCCUAACACAUGCAAGUCGAACGGAACUGUUUUGAAAGCUUUCUUCGGAAUGAAUUUGAUUUAGUUUAGUGGCGGACGGGUGAGUAACGCGUGAGUAACCUGCCUUCAAGAGGGGAAUAACAUUCUGAAAAGAAUGCUAAUACCGCAUGACAUAUCGGAACCACAUGGUUUUGAUAUCAAAGAUUUUAUCGCUUGAAGAUGGACUCGCGUCCGAUUAGUUAGUUGGUGAGGUAACGGCUCACCAAGACCGCGAUCGGUAGCCGGACUGAGAGGUUGAACGGCCACAUUGGGACUGAGACACGGCCCAGACUACUACGGGAGGCAGCAGUGGGGGAUAUUGCGCAAUGGGGGCAACCCUGACGCAGCAACGCCGCGUGAAGGAUGAAGGUUUUCGGAUUGUAAACUUCUUUUAUUAAGGACGAAAAAUGACGGUACUUAAUGAAUAAGCUCCGGCUAACUACGUG
This 482-nucleotide ribosomal RNA is filed under the name uncultured bacterium. RNAcentral describes it as "partial 16S ribosomal RNA". It matches the Rfam family "Bacterial small subunit ribosomal RNA", at positions 28 to 507 of the family's 1533-position model. The record is from RNAcentral.